UUUGGAGGUCCAACCGGCACAGCCAUGAUUUUCAUUAAUAGAAGACAAUUUAUAAAAGAUAAAUAUACGAAAUAUAUAUAUAUAUAUUUUAUUUUUUAUUUUUUUUUUUCAUUUUUCCACUUACAUACACAUAUAUAUAACCUGAACUCUAAGGCAGUGGAUGCUCAACUGCUUAUUGUUGAUUGUCAUCGAUUAACCGAUGCAAUUACCCAUUAGGCAUCAAUGAAAUAAGAAAUUUUUUUAAGGAUGUUCAAACUUGAAAGAAGUAAAAGAAAUUUCGACAAAGGGUGUUCGAUAUAUAUUAUGUACCAUUAAAACAUGAUAGUUACCUAUAUACAUAAUGUAAUUUUUUGAUUGACCACCUUUUACCAAAGUGUAGCUUCGCCCCUGCUAGGCAAGAGGCUGUGCUGCCUUGCUCAGCGGGAAGGGAACGUCACCACCGCCGCUGCCGGCUGGUGCAUGUUUCUCCGGCAGCCGUGGAUUUCCGAGAACUCUAUUACACUCCACCACAAUGUCUUGUCUUGAGCUGCAUAUGCUUAUGCUAUGUCUAAACCACCCUAAUUUUAAUGAUUUUUUUAUUAUCCUUUUCUCAUCAUCACCCUUUAAUUUCUCACUUGCACUAGUAAUUUUUAUAUAACGAUUUAGUUCCUUUGAGAUUCUUUCAAUCUCAUAUUUAUCAAGAAGGGACAUCUCACUCUUGCUUGGACUUAAAUGAAUUGGAACAACAACAUUUGGUGAAGACUGCAUUUCUUGAUAGAAAGGAAAAACUGGAUUUGUGUUUUGGAAUUGUGGAAUUAAGUUCGACGCCUUGGCUUAUAUAAGGAAAAUGGUUGCUUUUAGC
RNAcentral lists this long non-coding RNA (841 nucleotides) under Nicotiana benthamiana. RNAcentral describes it as "long non-coding RNA (NBEN_LNC036815)". Lineage: Eukaryota; Viridiplantae; Streptophyta; Magnoliopsida; Solanales; Solanaceae. The record is from RNAcentral.